This 406-nucleotide ribosomal RNA is filed under the name uncultured bacterium. RNAcentral describes it as "partial 16S ribosomal RNA". It matches the Rfam family "Bacterial small subunit ribosomal RNA", at positions 30 to 526 of the family's 1533-position model. The record is from RNAcentral.
AUUGAACGCUGGCGGCAGGCCUAACACAUGCAAGUCGAGCGCGCGUCGGGCGGGUGAGUAAUGUCUGGGAAACUGCCUGAUGGAGGGGGAUAACAACUGGAAAAGGUAGCGAAAAUCGCAUACCAUCAGAUGUGCCCAGAUGGGAUUAGCGAGUGGGUGGGGUAAUGGCUCACCUAGGCGACGAUCCCUAGCUGGUCUGAGAGGAUGACCAGCCACACUGGAACUGAGACACGGUCCAGACUCCUACGGGAGGCAGCAGUGGGGAAUAUUGCACAAUGGGCGCAAGCCUGAUGCAGCCAUGCCGCGUGUGUGAAGAAGGCCUUCGGGUUGUAAAGCACUUUCAGCGGGGAGGCGUUACUCGCAGAAGAAGCACCGGCUAACUCCGUGCCAGCAGCCGCGGUAAUAC